UCCCUGGUGAUCCAGUAGUUAAGAAUCUGUCUUCUGAAGCAGGGGAUGUAGGUUUGAUUCCUGCUCAGGGAA
RNAcentral lists this transfer RNA (72 nucleotides) under Bos taurus (domestic cattle). It matches the Rfam family "tRNA". From Rfam's summary of the family: Transfer RNA (tRNA) molecules are approximately 80 nucleotides in length. Their secondary structure includes four short double-helical elements and three loops (D, anti-codon, and T loops). Further hydrogen bonds mediate the characteristic L-shaped molecular structure. tRNAs have two regions of fundamental functional importance: the anti-codon, which is responsible for specific mRNA codon recognition, and the 3' end, to which the tRNAs corresponding amino acid is attached (by aminoacyl-tRNA synthetases). tRNAs cope with the degeneracy of the genetic code in two manners: having more than one tRNA (with a specific anti-codon) for a particular amino acid; and 'wobble' base-pairing, i.e. permitting non-standard base-pairing at the 3rd anti-codon position. Lineage: Eukaryota; Metazoa; Chordata; Mammalia; Artiodactyla; Bovidae. The record is from Rfam by way of RNAcentral.